This 221-nucleotide unclassified non-coding RNA is filed under the name Hevea brasiliensis (rubber tree). Lineage: Eukaryota; Viridiplantae; Streptophyta; Magnoliopsida; Malpighiales; Euphorbiaceae. The record is from RNAcentral.
GCCUGAAGUUGACCAUUUCUCUCCUCCAAUCUCUUCUGCAAUGUACAUAUAUCUUCUUCCAUGGUUUUAGCCUUAUUUUCAGCUUCCUGUCUUAUUAGUGUCUCUUUAGCAAAUGAUUGCUCUUGAGACGCAAGGCGGCUACGAACUUCCUUUAACUCUGCAGCUAAAGAAACUACGUUCCGUCUAAAACUUUGUUUCUUCUCAUUCAAAUCCUUCAACAA